UGGGGAAUAUUGCACAAUGGGCGCAAGCCUGAUGCAGCCAUGCCGCGUGUGUGAAGAAGGCCUUCGGGUUGUAAAGCACUUUCAGCGGGGAGGAAGGCGUUAAGGUUAAUAACCUUGGCGAUUGACGUUACCCGCAGAAGAAGCACCGGCUAACUCCGUGCCAGCAGCCGCGGUAAUACGGAGGGUGCAAGCGUUAAUCGGAAUUACUGGGCGUAAAGCGCACGCAGGCGGUCUGUCAAGUCAGAUGUGAAAUCCCCGGGCUCAACCUGGGAACUGCAUCUGAUACUGGCAAGCUUGAGUCUCGUAGAGGGGGGUAGAAUUCCAGGUGUAGCGGUGAAAUGCGUAGAGAUCUGGAGGAAUACCGGUGGCGAAGGCGGCCCCCUGGACGAAGACUGACGCUCAGGUGCGAAAGCGUGGGGAGCAAACAGG
Molecule: ribosomal RNA, 429 nt
Filed under: Chloroflexota bacterium
Lineage: Bacteria; Bacillati; Chloroflexota
Description: Chloroflexi bacterium partial 16S ribosomal RNA
Rfam family: Bacterial small subunit ribosomal RNA
Source: RNAcentral